UGCAGUCGUACGAUGAAGCCCAGCUUGCUGGGUGGAUUAGUGGCGAACGGGUGAGUAACACGUGAGUAACCUGCCCUUGACUCUGGGAUAAGCGCUGGAAACGGCGUCUAAUACCGGAUACGACCUGCCCCGGCAUCGGGUGCGGGUGGAAAGUUUUUCGGUCAAGGAUGGACUCGCGGCCUAUCAGGUAGUUGGUGAGGUAAUGGCUCACCAAGCCGACGACGGGUAGCCGGCCUGAGAGGGUGACCGGCCACACUGGGACUGAGACACGGCCCAGACUCCUACGGGAGGCAGCAGUGGGGAAUAUUGCACAAUGGGCGAAAGCCUGAUGCAGCAACGCCGCGUGGGGGAUGACGGCCUUCGGGUUGUAAACCUCUUUUAGUAGGGAAGAAGGGCUUCGGCUUGACGGUACCUGCAGAAAAAGCACCGGCUAACUACGUGCCAGCAGCCGCGGUAAUACGUAGGGUGCAAGCGUUGUCCGGAAUUAUUGGGCGUAAAGAGCUCGUAGGCGGUUUGUCGCGUCUGCUGUGAAAACCCGAGGCUCAACCUCGGGCCUGCAGUGGGUACGGGCAGACUAGAGUGCGGUAGGGGAGAAUGGAAUUCCUGGUGUAGCGGUGGAAUGCGCAGAUAUCAGGAGGAACACCGAUGGCGAAGGCAGUUCUCUGGGCCGUUACUGACGCUGAGGAGCGAAAGCGUGGGGAGCGAACAGGAUUAGAUACCCUGGUAGUCCACGCCGUAAACGUUGGGAACUAGAUGUGGGGACCUUUCCACGGUCUCCGUGUCGCAGCUAACGCAUUAAGUUCCCCGCCUGGGGAGUACGGCCGCAAGGCUAAAACUCAAAGGAAUUGACGGGGGCCCGCACAAGCGGCGGAGCAUGCGGAUUAAUUCGAUGCAACGCGAAGAACCUUACCAAGGCUUGACAUAUACCGGAAACUUCCAGAAAUGGUUGCCCCGCAAGGUCGGUAUACAGGUGGUGCAUGGUUGUCGUCAGCUCGUGUCGUGAGAUGUUGGGUUAAGUCCCGCAACGAGCGCAACCCUCGUUCUAUGUUGCCAGCACGUCAUGGUGGGACUC
Molecule: ribosomal RNA, 1072 nt
Filed under: Rathayibacter sp.
Lineage: Bacteria; Bacillati; Actinomycetota; Actinomycetes; Micrococcales; Microbacteriaceae
Description: bacterial SSU rRNA
Rfam family: Bacterial small subunit ribosomal RNA
Source: RNAcentral